UACAGAGGGGGCAAGCGUUGUUCGGAAUUACUGGGCGUAAAGGGCGCGUAGGCGGCCUGUUAAGUCGAACGUGAAAUCCCCGGGCUCAACCCGGGAACUGCGUCCGAUACUGGCAGGCUUGAAUUCGGGAGAGGGAUGUGGAAUUCCAGGUGUAGCGAUGAAAUGCGUAGAUAUCUGGAGGAACACCGGUGGCGAAGGCGGCCUGCUGGACGAUGACUGACGCUGAGACGCGAAAGCGUGGGGAGCAAACAGG
RNAcentral lists this ribosomal RNA (253 nucleotides) under uncultured bacterium. RNAcentral's name for it is "partial 16S ribosomal RNA". It matches the Rfam family "Bacterial small subunit ribosomal RNA", at positions 524 to 776 of the family's 1533-position model. The record is from RNAcentral.